UUACCUGGGACCCCAAAGAGGCUAUGCUCCCACCUCCAGAAGGAUCCAUCUACCUGCCUUUAGUCAUUGUGAGUGGCACCUUUGUCACUUUCAUCCUAUUGGGAAUCCUCGCUGGUGUUGCUUGCUUCCGUUGCCUUCGGUCUCAGAGAAGAGAUGAACUUUGCACUGCACCUCAAAACCCUGAAGUUACUGUCCUGAGCUCUACUCCCACUCACAGGAGAAACAUCUUAGGAAGCCCACUGCU
This 244-nucleotide long non-coding RNA is filed under the name Ictidomys tridecemlineatus (thirteen-lined ground squirrel). Its description in RNAcentral is "lncRNA (ENSSTOG00000030266.1)". The record is from RNAcentral. Lineage: Eukaryota; Metazoa; Chordata; Mammalia; Rodentia; Sciuridae.